GCUGGCGUAGCUCAGUGGUAGAGCAUCUGAUUUGUAAUCAGAGGGCCGGGGGUUCAAAUCCCUCCGCCAGCU
This 72-nucleotide transfer RNA is filed under the name Acidobacteriota bacterium. RNAcentral describes it as "Acidobacteria bacterium tRNA-Thr". It matches the Rfam family "tRNA". Rfam says of the family: Transfer RNA (tRNA) molecules are approximately 80 nucleotides in length. Their secondary structure includes four short double-helical elements and three loops (D, anti-codon, and T loops). Lineage: Bacteria; Pseudomonadati; Acidobacteriota. The record is from RNAcentral. RNAcentral also lists the same sequence under 2 other names.